RNAcentral lists this ribosomal RNA (473 nucleotides) under uncultured bacterium. RNAcentral's name for it is "bacterial SSU rRNA". It matches the Rfam family "Bacterial small subunit ribosomal RNA", at positions 28 to 475 of the family's 1533-position model. The record is from RNAcentral.
GACGAACGCUGGCGGCGUGCCUAAUACAUGCAAGUAGAACGCACAGUUUAUACCGUAGCUUGCUACACCAUAAACUGUGAGUUGCGAACGGGUGAGUAACGCGUAGGUAACCUGCCUGGUAGCGGGGGAUAACUAUUGGAAACGAUAGCUAAUACCGCAUAAUAUUGAUUAUUGCAUGAUAAUUGAUUGAAAGAUGCAACUGCAUCACUACCAGAUGGACCUGCGUUGUAUUAGCUAGUAGGUGAGGUAACGGCUCACCUAGGCGACGAUACAUAGCCGACCUGAGAGGGUGAUCGGCCACACUGGGACUGAGACACGGCCCAGACUCCUACGGGAGGCAGCAGUAGGGAAUCUUCGGCAAUGGACGAAAGUCUGACCGAGCAACGCCGCGUGAGUGAAGAAGGUUUUCGGAUCGUAAAGCUCUGUUGUAAGAGAAGAACGGGUGUGAGAGNGGAAAGUUCACACNGNGACGG